RNAcentral lists this transfer RNA (64 nucleotides) under Ruidocollaris obscura. RNAcentral describes it as "tRNA-Phe". Lineage: Eukaryota; Metazoa; Arthropoda; Insecta; Orthoptera; Tettigoniidae. The record is from RNAcentral.
AUUCAAGUAGCUUAAAAUAGAGCAUUGUAUUGAAGAUACAAAGGAGAUAUUAUAUUCUUGAAUA